UCCUACGGGACGCAGCAGUGGGGAAUUUUGCGCAAUGGGGGAAACCCUGACGCAGCAACGCCGCGUGGAGGAUGAAAUCCCUUGGGAUGUAAACUCCUUUCGAUAGGGAAGAUAAUGACGGUACCUAUAGAAGAAGCCCCGGCUAACUUCGUGCCAGCAGCCGCGGUAAUACGAGGGGGGCAAGCGUUGUUCGGAUUUAUUGGGCGUAAAGGGUGCGUAGGCGGUUUGGCAAGUCUUGUGUGAAAUCUUCGGGCUCAACCCGAAGCCUGCAUAAGAAACUGCCGGGCUUGAGUAUGGGAGAGGUGAGUGGAAUUUCCGGUGUAGCGGUGAAAUGCGUAGAUAUCGGAAGGAACACCUGUGGCGAAAGCGGCUCACUGGACCAUAACUGACGCUGAGGCACGAAAGCUAGGGGAGCAAACAGGAUUAGAUACCCCGGUAGC
This 440-nucleotide ribosomal RNA is filed under the name uncultured bacterium. RNAcentral's name for it is "bacterial SSU rRNA". It matches the Rfam family "Bacterial small subunit ribosomal RNA", at positions 337 to 794 of the family's 1533-position model. The record is from RNAcentral.